Non-coding RNA from Dermacentor andersoni, 4733 nucleotides. The record is from RefSeq and is a predicted model, not a curated record. Lineage: Eukaryota; Metazoa; Arthropoda; Arachnida; Ixodida; Ixodidae.
ACAUGCUGUCAAAACAACUGUGCUUAGCUGCGUCUUCUGUCGCUUUCGUUAGGUGUUCCUUGAGACUCUUAACCCUUUCGCUGUCACGGACGUACCGGUACGUCAUCGCGCUUCCCCCCCACAGUGUCACUGACGUACCGGUACGUUCUCUAUCGUGCGUUCAAAAUUUCGCGCCUGUGCGCAAAGCUGGCGCUCCUGGAUCUGCCACGCCAUCUGUUGACUCUUUCUACAAGUUUGUAUAUUCGCCCAGCCUGUGUUAGUCCAUGUAUUGAAGAGUACGGUGCAACUGCCACUCCCCACUUUCUCUUUGCUGAGUGGCGCGGUGGCUCCGCGUUCGCUGUAUCAUGCGUUGCGCGCGUGUGGUUAUGGGUUCAAGGGUUGUUUUGCAAUCUCUGCUGGUUUGAAGGUUUUUAUUUUUCUUCUGUUGGUGUGUCUGCUACGGCACGUCAAGUUCAGCUGCACGUGCCGUUGCCUCUCCAAAAAGGGUGACUCGAUUGCUGCUUUCGCUCUCUCGCCGCACCCUCGCUUCCGACUUGCAGCAGUAAACGUAAAGCCCUUCAAACUUUGUUUUAGCCUUUUUUCAUCUCCCUCUGUCUUCUUGAUCACGCAACGUCCCAUUUCUCUCCGUUGUGCGGGCGACUGAAAGCACAUCCUCCCUGCGCGCGGUUACUUUCGGAUGGCUCGGCGCACGGGACCUUCGUCUGCUCAUUGGAGCGGUGGCUGAAUCCCGAUUCAGAAUACGACCCGAGCUCGGACUCGGACAGAGUUGCAUGCGAGGAAGAGGGUUCCGCAUCGUCAGAUUCGGAUAUUGAACGGAUUUUAUAGUCAGGCUGAUGAUGAUGAUUAUGUUUACUAACAACAGCUGCAGAACACUGAAAUGUGCAUAUUGCAUUGACUAUGUUAUUUGUAUACCAAUCUUAAUCAAAACUAAAUUGCUAUGUUCAUUCCCUGUUAUGCUCGUUACCUGAAACCAAGCCGACACUGGGGGUGCGUCACAGCCAGAAAGGUCCGACAGCGAAAGGGUUAAACUGCAACCUGGGCUGCCUUAUCCCAAGGCCUAUGAUGAGCGUGUGGCUUAAAUGUUUUCGCUGUUUAGGCAUUCUGUAGAAGCCACACGUGAUUUUCUUGCUGCCGAUAGCCACAAAUCCUGUAGUUUAACUUUCUUUUCUUUUUUUUUUCAGGUAUACUGUAUAGACUCAUGUAAGCGCCACUGGCCACACCUUAUUUUUUCGUAAUUCUGGCCAGGUGCGGUCCUUACAAGGGACUAAACCUUUUGGUGAAAAUAGAGCCGCCCCAGCCAGCAACUCAUGCACACCUCAGAUCCAUUGCAUCAGAGUUGUUAACGUGCAGAUUUCGCCAUGUAAUAGCGGCUUGAAAAAAUGUGCAGCGCGCGUCAUCAGGCCACGAAAUGCGACGGCUUCUCCUUUUUGAAUUUUGUUCACAAAUUCUGGGCUGCCACAUUGGAAGUACUGCCCUUACACGAGUCUGUAUGGUAUUGUUCAUCUUUGUUGGUGGAAAAAUGCCCAUAAAACAAAUACUUUUGUCAGUUAUUACAGAGAAAAUGAGUUGAUAAAUACAUACUUAUGGAUGGAAUGCUAAAUCAAUAAAAUAUUCUUUGCACCAGGCUAUGUCACUGCUCUUGAAAGUGGCAAGAUUUCAAUAUAUUAAGUGUAAUUAAGCAUGUGUCACAUUAGAUCCGAUCCUUCUGCAAUAAGACUGCAAUUGAAGUGCAGUCCUUUUGUAAUGAGAUGACAGCAAUUGAAGUGGUGGAUUUGAAAAUGUGAUCCUCUGUCCCCAUGCUCUUUGGCGGGGCCAAAUAGUUUGGCUGCGCACAUGGCUGUUGUAUGAGUGCCAUGAAACAUUAUGAGUGCAGCAGGAUCGACCAGCUUUAUGGAGCAGCAGAACACUGCUGGGUAUUCUCUGGCAGCUGCAGACUGAGUGCCUAGGGACACCUUGGACGUUGCCAACUUCGCCCCGGCCUCAGUCGCUGCCCUCAGCGAUCCUGCUGGGCCCAAGCUGCGCCUUCGCGUCCAUCGCUGUUGUACCGAGCCUGGGCUUCGCCCAGCUGCCAUUGCUGCCAGUGCGCUGUCGUUGAGCUUUGCCCUAACCUGCGUCGCCGUACACAAACUGUGCGAGAACUGAGCUGCAGAGCCAGUUCGUGCCUUUGACUAGGGUGUCAGAACAAAAUGUUUUUCCUUCUGCUUUUAGUUUUGUUUCACUGAAAAAGUUCCAUUUCUGUUCCGGAACAAAAAAAGAAACAUCAGUAACAGUUCAUAAAGGUUUUGGUUUGCGAGCAAAAAUUUUCGAAGCAAUGUAACGAUAAAAACAUGGUACUUACAUUUCUCCAUAAGUGGGUUAUAAAUUUGGAGAUCAUGCUCAGUGCCUUGAGACAAGGCACAAAAUAAUAAAUAACAUUGCGGUUAUGUUUUUACUUGGGUCAUAAAUAUCCUUUCUUUUCGUUUUUCGUUUGGUUCUGUUCCGACACGCUGGCUUUGACAGACUCGCAGUGCCCUGGCCUCAGUGACUUCUAUUGCUAUUUCCCAGGGCAAAGCUUUUAUGAGAGACAAUUGCGGCAAGUUGGGUGCGUUGGUAAACUUGCAUAAUGACAAAUACUAAACGCCACAAAAAAGACAGGGACUAAGAAAUGAAAUAGACGAAACAGCAUCAUGCAGGGCUCCUAGAAAUUCCUAGUACUUUGUCAUUACCACCUCUGAGAGAAGUGCAUUGUCUUCUUUUUGUUCUCGUACUGCACUGCCAUCAUGUUAUGCCUACACCACUAUGCCUUUCAUUCUAUCCUCUGUAGGCUGACCAUAUCACUCAGCUGGCGUGUAAUAUUAUUUCAGCAUUCAAUGCUUUCCUCUUGCAGUUGUAGUCUCCCUACUACAGUUCAGAGGAGGGCAUUUCUUUCAAUUUAUCAAAUAGAAAGAAGCCACCAAGGAAAGUGCUGUGUUCAAAUUCAUUUUCUUAGUACAUAUAGUGAACUUAUGGGGGGACAUGUGUCUUAAGAACGGAAAAUUGCGAUAAAAAAUACAUUUUUGGGAACUAAUUGUUUCAGCAUGUGCAAUGCCUAAUCUACUGUAUCGAAAUUAUUUGCCCAGAAACGCACCCCAAGUGUAAAAAGUGGUGAGAAAGGAGCCCAAAACCGUUCAGAAAUGCCUAAGUUCGCAGGGCUAUAUCUCGUCUUUUCUACUGCUGAGUGCUGCCAUUUUGGUAUCAUUUGAAAAGCUCAAAUUUCCGCCUUUCAGUUCCCCACAUUCUCGCCUCCUAUGACCGCACAGGAAAAGCACAAACUUAAAGCAACCAGGGGCCAGUCUGAUGAAACUCGUGAUGCAUGCUGGAGGUGCCUUCUGACUGGCUGUUCCUAUGGCAACUAGCACCUUGACACUACCAACACAGAACUUGCCUGCUAAACUAAGCCUACCAGGGCCUGCUUCAAAAACUGUUGAUCUGUCUUUUCCUUGCUGAUUAUAUUGCUAACAUGAGUGGCAAAUUUACCCUCUCGAAAAGGUUUGAAACUGGCCAUGUACCUACGGAAAGUGAAGGACAAGCCGUGGCCACUUCCUGCAGCAAGUAGUUUUACUUCGGAGACCGCAAACGAAGUGCCGUUGCCUACUCCCAUGCCUCUCGCACAUGUCCUGACAUGUAGCAGUUGCAUGCUCCACGUAGCUGGACUUAGCUAACUCAAGCAAGCUAGGUGAUUAUUUGUCACCAUCCCAUUUCGAAGGAGAUGCCAAUGAAACAUCACCAUCAUCAUAACGGCAACGUACCAUGCCACAGGUGAAGGGACAUGUGUACCAUGUAGUCUGAAUACCUGUGUUUCCUCUUCAGUACAUGUUGUGGUGCCUCCUUGCAAGGUACAAAUCACUGCUGAAGAUGCGAAUCAUAGAGCUGCUUGUGCAUCUCCAACCAGGCAACAUUGGGCCCAACAGACCAUUGUGCAGAGAGCAGGGCAAGCUGCAGCUCACUGUCGACACCGAGCAGACAGUUCAGAUCAUUCUCGUCAAAACAGCUCGAGAAGACUUCGUCGCAAAGACCCUGUAGUGCGUGGUGCCAAAAAUGCAGCUCCUAUGCAGCCACUCCUCCAGCUUACGCUGUGACUGUGCUGUGACUGUGCUGCGACUGUGCUGCUGGUGCUGCCUGUGCUGCCCGUGCCUGUGACUUUUUUUAGUUUCACAGCAAAGCUGUGUACCUCUACCCUCCAAGGAAAUUUUCAUGUUGUAAGUAAAAAGCUCCCCAUACGUGGGCUGAACCUGAAGAUAGUGCAAUGCUGGGCCUACCCGCGGUGGAGGUGAAGCAGGCGUUAAGCACUCCCCAUACGUGGGCCGAUCCCAAAUAUAGUGCAAUGCCGGGCCGACGCACGGCAGAACUGCAGUUCGUCAUUAAGAGGCCUCUUAAUUACGGCCUCUUAAGAGGCCAGUGCAUCUGCAAAAGGUGGGAAUGGCAUAAACUACAUUAGUACUAUUAGCACUUACAUAAGGAAAAUGGGAUGCUUCCUUAAUGAAUGUUUACGUGAGCAUGCACAGUGUGUCAACAUUAAGACUGGUAGUAAUCUUGCUGUUCAUUGUGCAACGUGUGGCUGUUCACCCCGCCUAAAAGACACACAUGUUCUGAGAAAAUACAGCGAUCAGGUGGCCAGGGUAUUCUUUGAGGCCUUCCCUUUGUUCUUUUCUCUCUUUCAGGCUGUUGUAAAUAGUAUAUAUUUGUAUGGGUUUUAAUAAAGAUGUUAGCACUCA